AUUGAACGCUGGCGGCAGGCCUAACACAUGCAAGUCGAGCGGAUGAAGGGAGCUUGCUCCUGGAUUCAGCGGAGGACGGGUGAGUAAUGCCUAGGAAUCUGCCUGGUAGUGGGGGAUAACGUCCGGAAACGGGCGCUAAUACCGCAUACGUCCUGAGGGAGAAAGUGGGGGAUCUUCGGACCUCACGCUAUCAGAUGAGCCUAGGUCGGAUUAGCUAGUUGGUGGGGUAAAGGCCUACCAAGGCGACGAUCCGUAACUGGCCUGAGAGGAUGAUCAGUCACACUGGAACUGAGACACGGUCCAGGCUCCUACGGGAGGCAGCAGUGGGGAAUAUUGGACAAUGGGCGAAAGCCUGAUCCAGGCAUGCCGCGUGUGUGAAGAAGGUCUUCGGAUUGUAAAGCACUUUAAGUUGGGAGGAAGGGCAGUAAGUUAAUACCUUGCUGUUUUGACGGUACCAACAGAAUAAGCACCGGCUAACUUCGUG
RNAcentral lists this ribosomal RNA (484 nucleotides) under uncultured bacterium. Its description in RNAcentral is "partial 16S ribosomal RNA". It matches the Rfam family "Bacterial small subunit ribosomal RNA", at positions 30 to 507 of the family's 1533-position model. The record is from RNAcentral.